CCUGUCCGAGACAAAGCUACCUUUCUUUCCUCGUGGGAAUGGACCGGCCGGGCUUUGGCAAUCUGUCCCCUCAAAAGACAAAGUGACCUCUUGCAGCAGGGGAAGACUGAAGCAAGGGGUGCCAGGAAGAACUGGAGUCUCUGGAGAAUAAAAGCUUGAAGUAUGGCCCUGAAAGUUCCCAGCCCCGGGUGGUCAGUGGUCUGACUUGCACAGACCGGUGGCCUUGGCCAGGAGUGGUCCUGCGGGAAGCACCUUUGCCCAGGCUGUAAUUUUAAUUUCCACUGGGUGCUGGCAAAGCCCCCCUGGGGGUGAGCCCCAGUGCCUGGCAGGAGCGGAGCGGGCUUGCAGGGAGGUGUUCACCCGGUCAGCGUCAGGAACCAUCCUAACUGAGGCCUCGGCUGCCUCUUUCCCUUCGGUCGCCGUGGACACUGUGCUGGACACCUCUGGCAGGACUAACCCUGUGGCUUUUAUGUCCAACGUGCUGUAUGCCUGCAGCAUCCUGUCCGAGACAAAGCUACCUUUCUUUCCUCGUGGGAAUGGACCGGCCGGGCUUUGGCAAUCUGUCCCCUCGAAAGACAAAGUGACCUCUUGCAGCAGGGGAAGACUGAAGCAAGGGGUGCCAGGAAGAACUGGAGUCCCUGGAGAAUAAAAGCUGGAAGUAUGGCCCCGAAAGUCCCCAGCCCCGGGUGGUCAGUGGUCUGACUUGCACGGACCGGUGGCCUUGGCCAGGAGUGGUCCUGCGGGAAGCACCUUUGCCCAGGCUGUAAUUUUAAUUUCCACUGGGUGCUGGCAAAGCCCCCCUGGGGGUGAGCCCCAGUGCCUGGCAGGAGCGGAGCGGGCUUGCGGGGAGGUGUUCACCCGGUCAGCGUCAGGAACCAUCCUAACUGAGG
Long non-coding RNA from Pseudopipra pipra, 890 nucleotides. RefSeq lists it as uncharacterized. NCBI's taxonomy places the organism in Eukaryota, Metazoa, Chordata, Aves, Passeriformes, Pipridae. The transcript has 3 exons. The record is from RefSeq and is a predicted model, not a curated record.